GCGUCUCCAAAGCUGCGUGCCUAGUGUUGCUGUGUAGUUUAGAACCGGAGCAGUAGGACCCAGGGGCCUCCGCAGCCACCAAUAGAAGCGCACACUUGGACCUAUUUGUAUGCAAUGCCUUCUGCUCUGCGCAUUAAUAGUAAUACAGAUAACGGGUUUGAAAGAAUUCUCUACCGAAGAAGGAUUGAAUUUUUCCAGGGUGCUGAUACCGAGAAGAAACCCGACUUCACUCUCUCCCCAUUUUCCCACUCUUAGGUUGAAAAGUCUCAGACACCUUUCGCUUGGUUUAAACUCGGAAAGGUCUCAGUGCACAGCAAAGUUGGAGGGGCUGCGUCUGCACUACGGCGCCGCUAGAUCGCUGAAAACGGGCUUAUCCAAGGAUUUCAGCAUGUCCAGGAAAGAGAGAAUCUCAGCCUGA
Molecule: long non-coding RNA, 418 nt
Filed under: Macaca nemestrina (pig-tailed macaque)
Lineage: Eukaryota; Metazoa; Chordata; Mammalia; Primates; Cercopithecidae
Description: lncRNA (ENSMNEG00000046092.1)
Source: RNAcentral